CUUCUUCUCAGGUAAACCGUAAAACACAAACCCUCACAACCAUCUUCUCCACCGAUUUUAUUAUCCAGAUCUGUUCCUAUUCUUUCUUCUUCCUAGAGACUAAAACACAAACCCUCGCAACCAUCUUCUCCACCGAGAAACCGUCGUCUUCCCUGUUCUUCCUCAUCAUCAACUGCGACUCCUCCCUCCGAUGACACCAGGGUUUAUUGGAUCAAGUUAGGAGGAACGGGCAGUGACGAACUGGGUUUCGAUAGGAGUUUUAAGGGAGAAUCUCGUGUUAAUCCUCGUCGUCUUCUGUUCAGAUCUGGUUUUAAUACUGACUGGAAUUACUGUCAGUAAAAUGGAAGGAGGGGAUGAACGUCUGAAUAUAACUGGUCGUUUGGGAGCCGUCAACUUUGCCCUAAAGUCACUCUAAUACAAAGUCAAAGUGUAGGUCGACCUGCAAGAGUCAAAGCUGCUUAUGUGCUUGCACAAAAGAACUCAAAAGUGUUCCUGGAUUAAGAAAGAUUUAGUGGACCGUGAAAAACUUCAAGCCACACUCGCCGAUGAAUCUUUCUCUAACGGUUCCGAUCUCAAAAAGUCGCUAGAAAUGGUGGCACUACUCGAAGCACAGAUGAAAGAGAUAUUCAAAGCCGGCAAACUGGAUUGAUGCAUUGUUGUGGCGUACGAAGGACCACACCCAUGAAAGGAAGUCCCAGAUCUGGGGUGACGCGGCUAGGGUUUCGUCAUUGGAGCUGUGACUGUGGCGUACGAACGGGUAUUCAGGUCAACGGUGGUGGGUGUGGCAGCAAGAUAAAAACAUAUUGUAUUGGACUUUGCUUCUGUUGGGGGUAAAAAAAUGCACUUACGACGCCGUAUGAUUGAACCAGAAAGUUUGUUGGAGAAUUCAAAGUUAAUCUGGGCAAGUUAGUUUUGUUGAGUAGUAAUGCCCACAUGGUGAAAAUUACCAACAUUUGGCCACCACCCGAGCCUGAGCUUUUAGACUUUCUGAAAUUUAAGCGACAACACGAAGAUUUCAUGGGAUCACCAAGUAUAUAUCAAACAUACAGAAGAAGAUUUUAGAAUAUCAUGAAGGCGAUAUCCGAACAACUUGAUAAGAGAAAGGGUAUAGAGGACCUGCAAACUGUUCCCUGAUCAAAAAGCACGUUGUGAAUACUUGCCAUUGUUAACCACACCGAACCUUUGCUAGGAAGGAAGACUACAUGUACAUGCCUUUUUUAUGAUCAUAUAGUGGUUCUAUGUAUGUGAAGGUAUGCUAGACAAGUGGCUGAGUUUUUUCGAGUACGUGAAGAAAGUAAAAGAAGACUGCUAAAGUUGAUGAAGGCAGCAACAAGGGUAGGCAUGCAUAGAUACUGCUGUCACACGAAGGAUUAUGGGUCCCAACACGCGCAGGGAAAACUUCUUAGAGUGUCACAAGUCGCCGGAUUUCAGACGAGCCAUGUUGUUCAUGCCUGGAUUGGGCCCUGGGUAGUGGUUUGUUGUUGUGCUUAAACCCGUGUUUUGCUUGUAUCAUGAAAUUAUAAUAUCUCACACACGCCACAUGAUCAUAGGACUAAACUGAACUUAAUAUAGGAUGAUUGUAGUUUAUAUGCAAAUUUUAAUGAAAGGUUCAUAAGUUUGUUAUCUCAAACUUAUGGGAACACUUAGAACCUGUAUGCCAUUGUUG
RNAcentral lists this long non-coding RNA (1666 nucleotides) under Helianthus annuus (common sunflower). Lineage: Eukaryota; Viridiplantae; Streptophyta; Magnoliopsida; Asterales; Asteraceae. The record is from RNAcentral.